CUUAAACACAGGGACCAAUGCCUUGCUUGUCACUUGAGAUCCAGGGAGGUAUGACAGCUUCCAGGAAAUUCCUGUUUCUGAAAAGAAACCUAGUUUAGAAUGAAAUUGGGAGACAGCAGAGGGAACUUCCAAGCCCCACCCCUCCUUGUCAAUUGCAGACCCAACAGGUGGAUACUUCUUUACUAUUCCAGCAGGAGGAAUAAAGUUCCACCCACCUACACCACCCCCGCCCACAACCGCGCAGCCAAUGAGAGACAGUCACAACUCAGCCAAUGAAGAGCCACUAUAUUUCGAACUCCUCGUUUACGCCAAUGGACUUUUUGUUUAUAAUAGCCUGCUCGGCACCCUCCCCCCUCUCCUCAAUAAAAGUCCAAGUGUUCUCUGAAAAGGCGGUAUAUACAAAAUGACCUUAAAAGGUGUGAUGCUGAAGAAAAAGGCUCACAAGUGCGGCUUGACGGGAAAUGGUUUAUUAAAGGGACUUACGGACAGAAGUGUGUCUUGCGGAGUGGCAAAACUAGUAGAUCUCUGCAGUCCCAUCUCCGGCACCUUGUAAGGCCCCUUUUGAAGGUAGAUGUGGCCCGUGGCUUCACUUGAUCUGCGUACUGGGGCAGAAGUGAUGAGGUAUAGGGAUGCAGCCACCCCUCCGCACUCCCCAUUCCCAGCCCCGUCACAGUGAGCAUGUUCUGUGAUGGGGCCUUCAGCUUCGUUGAGUGACGAUGAGCAGAGCCCCAUUGUGGCCCAAGUAUGAACAAGAAAUAAGUUGAGCACCCUUUCAGAGCAAAAUUUGCUUGAAACUUGCUGGCUACUCAGUUCCUCUGUAGCACAGAUCCACUUCAGGCUGGGCCCUGUCAUCUCAACAACAUUCACUGGAGCCCUGAUUCACGCCGGGCAUUAAUGACAGAUGGGAUGGGGAGGCAAAGUCUCUGUCACUAAAGAGAUCACCAGACUAUAAACAAAUGAUUAUCAAAGAGAUGGCGGGUGUAUGGCUAAGGAACAUUUUGUCCCAUGAGAUAUGAAGGGAGAGUAGCUGCCUGGAAGAUGUGGGCCCAGGACUGGAAAACAUUAUCCAUACUGUUUGGCACAAGGUUGGGAUCAAAUGUGAACUGUUACAUCUAACGCUCAUAUUACCUACAAGUUGAACAAGGACUACAAAGGCUCAUGGGACAGGAAUGCCGGCACAUCUUUUCUGUGCUAAUGAUUCUCAGCCUCCAUCCUAGGAUCCGGAACUCCAGACUUGCAUUCGUAUCUCCAUCCUGGACACUUUCAGUCUCAAGUUCCAUGGAAAAUUUCUCAAGGGUGUGAUCAUUUGCUUUAUGCAAUUGGCCUCAUGAUUUAGUGCAUCUAAAGAAAAUCCUUUACCUUUUUUUUUCUUUUUGGAAGAUAGAAGCCACAUCCCUAAGCAAGGCAAGCAAGUCAAGGAACUCUUCACAUUCUGGUGUUUUCCAUUUCUUCUCGUACGGAGCUUUUAUUUAAUAACAAAAUCUUACUACCAUCUUUGAAUCUGUGGUCAAAUUUUCUACUGUGAUCUGACCCAUCUUGGACGAAUCUGGAGCACCACAGAGCCCAGGAACGUGGAGGGGCCCUCAGACCAGGACCGAGUAUUCAUGGGAAGAUGGAGACCUGAGAUGAGCCAUGGCCCAGAGUAGCCAUUACAGCAUGUCCAUGGUGAGUCACAUCUAUCUUGAAGGGGAGCAUGCACAGGGUUUCCUUCUAAGAAGAUAGAUGGUACUGAAAGUUGGAGUCCUUUCAUAUUUUUUUCUUUUAGUGCUCAUACACAAUAAUCUAUUAACUUCUGAUUCAAGAUAGAAAACAUGAAUUUGUCUUUUCCCACCUAAAAACCCAUUACAUGACAGGGAAAAAAAAAGAUACAAGUGAGAAAACGAGGGGGAUAUCAGUGUAACAGGAAUAUCAACACAUUUCUGAGAGAAAGGAAGUGGAUGGAGAAGUAGUUCUGAUGAUGCAGGGUGCAGGAAGUUGCACCCUGGAAUGUGCUAGAGGACUGAGAGACAGAGUUGGGUAGAGUCAGAACCCAAGAGAACCAUAAGGCUUGGAAACACCAGGAAUGGCCAUUGGAAGAAAGAUGACUUGGGCUUGAAAACUGGGAAAUAGAUGGCAGUUCUAUAAGUAGAACAUUGGACCCUGCUUACAUGCUCUCCCACCCCAUCCCCACACCAAAACCCCAGCUAGCAGGCAUCUGCCUCUCAAGCGACUGUUUAGAAUGUAUUUCCAAUAUCUGCACUCUGGGCAGCUGAUUUCUGGAUCAGCCUGGAGUCAAGCUCUCCAAUAAACAAGCCCAGCACAUAUUCACAGAGCCCCAAUCAGGUCUUUGUGGCUCAUUCCUAAAAGCAAAUAAGUAUUACCAGGUAUUUGAAAGCCUGUAAGAUGAAAGUGCUAAAACAAGAAGCCACAGUUAUGAAAAGAAUCACCAGGGGGCACCUGAGUGGCUCAAUCCGUUAAGCGUCCGACUUUGGCUCAGGUCACUAUCUCACGGUUUGUGGGUUUGAGCCCCGCGUCAGGCUCUGUGCUGACACCUGUCUGUCCCUGCCCUGCUCACGCUCUCCCUCUCCUUCAAAAAUAAGUAAAAAAAUAAAUAAAUAAAUAAAAAAUUAAAAAAAAACCACCAGGAAGCAAGAAUGAGCUCUGGAAUUAAAUAUAUAAUUGGUCAAAUAAUUCAAUAAAAGAAUAGUAAGAUAAAGAUGGAAGAUAUGAGAGGAUUUGCAACACUCGAGUAAUAGAAAUUCCAAAUGGGUCAGACAGAGGGUGGAUGAUUAUAAGAGUGGUAAGAGACUUGGCCAGAGCUGAAGGACACUAGUUGCCAGACGAAAAGAAUCCACCAAGUUCCAAACACGUGAAUGAUAAAUCUGUGUGAAAUUUCAAAACUCCAUGAAUAAAGAGAAGAUUCUAAAAGAUUUCAAAGAUGGAAGGGAAAGAGGGGACUUCCAAAUUAGACCUGAAAACCAGACUCACGUGGGAUUGCUCAUCUGUAGUCGUAGGUACUGGAAGACCACAGAAGAAUAAAACCUUUCGAGUUCUGAUAGGAAGUGUUAUCAGUCUUUUACUUUUAUAUCCUGUGAAGUGCAAGGGCAGACUAAAAACAUUUUCAGACAAACAAGUAACAAGGACUUUUAUCUCCAACAUAGUCCCGAUGAGGAAAUUCCUGAGGAUGUACUCAAAUAAGACCAGUGAGUAAAUCAACAAAUCAACAGACUUGGAAUUCAAGCCAGGAGGGAAGUGAAAGGACAAGAACUCUGCAGCUAGGACAGGCUGGAGCAGGAGGAUGGGGGAUUACAGGAGGAGGGGGCUGCAGAAAGUACGGAUUCCAGGGAUUUGCUAUCCUUGAGGAUUUGGAGACACUUCAGGAGAAAAGCCAUGUUUAUUUCUAGAAAACUAUUUUCUUCCAUCUCUAAAAAAAAUUGCUUCAGAAUCCUUCCCUGAUGAAUCUAUUCUAUAAUUCUCUACUCAGUGUCCUUUCUAAGAGAUUUUCAGGAGCUGGCUGUUCCAGCAGAACCUACUCAGAAUUUGGGGGUGUGAGGCCUGAAACUCCCUCGCAGGCAUCUGUUGACAAGAAUUGCUAUUCACAAGGGGGGAUAGGCUUUGGAGCUGAGGAAAGUUGGUGCCUAGAGGAGAGAAAGGAAAACUACAAAGAAAGAAUUACAUGAUACUUGUUUCCUAACUAGCUCAGGGUUCCUCUUCAAUCAGCCAUUUAGUCUGGGUAGGGCUCAGCCCUCAAGUCUAAGGAAGGAACAUACACACCAGGCUUAAGUCAAACAAUACAUACUGUUCUCUAGUGACAACAUUGGCUAAGGGGCAGUACGUGCCAUAAGAUGUCCGAUCACAAGGAAUUUAGGACAUUAGCUGGAAAUGUUGAGGCAAAGAUUUUCACUCUUUCCUGCUGGUCUUAAACCUGGAAUGACGUAGUCUUAGAAGUUACUGGCUGCCAUACGACAAUAAGAGGGCAGAGAGAGCCUCUCUGUGGUUGAGACUGACACACAGUGGGGAGCAGAACCAAAAGAUGGAGAGGACUUAUGUCCUGAUGAUAUUUUAUAAGCUCCUGCUUUAAGCCACACCAAUGGCCAACCCUGUUCUGGGACUUUUAUGAAGUCCAUAAACUCACUAUCUGUGGAAGUCUGGGUCAAGUUUCCUCUUGUAUAAAACAGAAAUAUUCU
Acinonyx jubatus (cheetah) is the source of this 4166-nucleotide long non-coding RNA. RefSeq lists it as uncharacterized. The transcript has 5 exons. The record is from RefSeq and is a predicted model, not a curated record. Lineage: Eukaryota; Metazoa; Chordata; Mammalia; Carnivora; Felidae.